Molecule: ribosomal RNA, 469 nt
Filed under: uncultured bacterium
Lineage: Bacteria
Description: partial 16S ribosomal RNA
Rfam family: Bacterial small subunit ribosomal RNA
Source: RNAcentral
GACGAACGCUGGCGGCGUGCUUAACACAUGCAAGUCGAACGGAAAGGCCCUGCUUUUGUGGGGUGCUCGAGUGGCGAACGGGUGAGUAACACGUGAGUAACCUGCCCUUGCCUUUGGGCUAACUUCAGGAAACUGGGGCUAAUACCGGAUAGGAGCUCCUGCUGCAUGGUGGGGGUUGGAAAGUUUCGGCGGUUGGGGAUGGACUCGCGGGUUAUCAGCUUGUUGGUGGGGUGGUGGCUUACCAAGGCUUUGACGGGUAGCCGGCCUGGGAGGGUGGACGGGCAAAAUUGGGAUGAGGUUAGGGCCAGGAUGCUUACGGAGGCAGGAGGGGGGGAUAUUGGAACAUGGGGCGGAGGCUGAAUGAGGAAACGCGGGGGGGGGGAGAAGGGCUUUGGGUUGUAAACCGGUUUUCGCAGGGGAGGAGGUGGUAGUGACGGUAAUGGGUAAAGAAGCACCGGCUAACUACGUG